CAAAUGAAAAGAAAAGAAGGAUAAUAGUGCUAUUAUGGAUAGAUGAUGGAAGGGAAUUUUAGCAGCAAUCUGUAAACUUCACUUAGUUUCGUACCCUCUAAUAGCUAAGAUGAAAUAAAUCAAUUAUGAUUACUGCUGGCUGUGGAGGGGCUUUUUUUGGAGCAAUCAGUCAGUAGGAGGGGCUUUUUUCUACUGCUAGUUUUUGCUUCAGUUGGGUACAUGAAUCUCUGGUUAUAAGGAUUUCAGAGCCAUGACCCACGGUAUAUACUUACUAGUACUGUCUACUGUGAUUGAGUAUUUAUUGUUGGUGCUUCCACUAUGUAUUAUUCACCCAUUUGCAUCUUCUUACUCUAGCAUCAAAGGCCCACAAAAAAACAAAUAAUCCUUUAAAUUCUGUAUAAUUUAUUGAGUACUUUUUAGUUAUUGAACGAACUCAUACUGGUUAGUGUUGGUCAUAUGCAAGUAAACUGGAUACCCACCAGACUAACUAUUUCCCAAAGUUAGAGCGAUACAUUCUGUACUACACUGCUAAUGCCUAUCCGAGUUCGUUGUUUUAUUUUCAUGGUAACUAAAUGUUGACAUAUUAGCUAAUUGUGUACCUAAAAAUGACCCAGGUACAGUGGUGCUGCUGGUUCUUUGAGGCCGGGUCGAGUUGAGGUAGGGGAUAGGAAGGUUGAGCCACUCAGGUGCUGAUCAUGUACAUCGGCGCUCCUUCCGGGGUUGACCCGACCAAACCAAUGAUGCAAGGCUUCUCCUGCUGCUGCAUGUCUUCAUCAACUUAGUUCUUCCACAGGGAGAGAUCUAAAUCCUUCACUUGUUCACUGUAUAAUCUGCAAAUUACUUCUUCCAUUAAUCACCUAGUGCUCCUGUUAGUGAGAUUCAUCUAGUAUUUUUUUUUGCAAAGCAUGCGAUGGUUUGGAGUAGUUGAUCAUGGCCUGAUGGAAACUUCAUGUCGUUAGCAUGUAUAUAUGUACUACUACAGCAGCCAGAAGCAAUCCAUUUUAUUAAAUGCAUUCAUCUCAUUACACUAGCUAGCACAAUAUAUUAAUUAAGGCAACUCUACUACAUAUCAAUUUCCCCUACUGGAUUGGUUCUAUAUUUUUAAAGUCGUUUCGUGGUGCUUGAGCCCAACCUGAAGAAAUAUAGGCUUAUGAUGACUAUUUUCCUUCUUAAGUAAUCAUAGUUGUUGGCUUCGGUAGCUUGCUGAAUAUGUUUUAGUUAUAUAUAGAAAUGAUGUGCCUUCUAUGCUUAAAUGAUUGUUUGGCUCUAUAUAAUUGUUGACAUGAAUAUCUUGACUUCCCAAACAAGUAUAGGACUGUACCUAUGCAUACAGAUUAUCCUAACAAAACUGAAAAUAAAAAUUGAAGCAUGAAAUAAGCAAUAAGUGGCUGAUUUUUAUUUGCAUGUUAAGCGGAAAGUUGUAGCUAAGGCUUGUAUAUUACGAAAUAUUGUCACACCUCUGAGCUUCUACCGUUGUUAGGGACAUCGUAGUGUGAUCUUCAUGAUUUUUUGCUUGAAGAUGUACUGAUUCAUUAGUCAAGCAGAGACCGAAGUCAUCUUUUGCUAUUGUUAGCUCUAUGGAUGUGUAUUUACCUGCAACUUCUGCCAGCUCUAACUUGGUUAUAUAGCAGUUCAAUUCAGUCAAUCUGUU
Molecule: ribosomal RNA, 1651 nt
Filed under: Triticum aestivum (bread wheat)
Lineage: Eukaryota; Viridiplantae; Streptophyta; Magnoliopsida; Poales; Poaceae
Description: partial small subunit ribosomal RNA
Source: RNAcentral